GGGGGGAGGCCGGAUCCUGGGCUGUGUCCCGGCGCCCUGUGCUCCGGAGCCUGCGCUGUUGGAUUCGCGCUCCCGCCCCGCAGCCCCCU
Non-coding RNA from Canis lupus familiaris (dog), 89 nucleotides. The record is from Rfam. NCBI's taxonomy places the organism in Eukaryota, Metazoa, Chordata, Mammalia, Carnivora, Canidae.